This 310-nucleotide long non-coding RNA is filed under the name Marmota monax (woodchuck). Lineage: Eukaryota; Metazoa; Chordata; Mammalia; Rodentia; Sciuridae. The record is from RNAcentral.
UUUUUGAUGACAGUUAUACAGCAUAUACAUUUUGCAAAACUCUGAAUUGUACUCAGAAUGUGAUAGAUUGGUGUGUAGAUCAAACCUCAAAAAAGGUUAUAACUCUUUAAGACCCCAUCAAAAUACUCUAUUUUGAGAAAUAUAGCUUUUAAGCAAACAGGAUGGAUGUGUGAAUUGAUCAGCUCUAUUAAUUAACAUUUCAAUUUAUUCAGUUAAUGCCAUCAAUUAGGACACAACUGGAUACAGUUUGGGUGAGGGGACUCUUUUCCUUAGAAUAUUUGUAUAUCACAUUUAAAAUAUUAAAUAUUCA